GUCCAGGGUAGCAUAGUGGAUAUGGCAUCUGCCCGGUAAGCGGAACACUGUGGGUUCGAUAACCUUCCCUGGACA
RNAcentral lists this transfer RNA (75 nucleotides) under Cordylochernes scorpioides. RNAcentral's name for it is "tRNA-Thr". The record is from RNAcentral. Lineage: Eukaryota; Metazoa; Arthropoda; Arachnida; Pseudoscorpiones; Chernetidae.